Molecule: long non-coding RNA, 246 nt
Filed under: Elaeis guineensis (African oil palm)
Lineage: Eukaryota; Viridiplantae; Streptophyta; Magnoliopsida; Arecales; Arecaceae
Description: long non-coding RNA (EGUI_LNC071032)
Source: RNAcentral
AGUUCGUGAUUGAUCUAAAAAUUUUAAUUUUAUAUUUAAUAAUCAGAUUAUAAAUUAGAUCUAAUCUAAAAAAUAAUCUAAGCAUAUAUAAAUAAACAUGUAAUAAACAACUUAGGCUCUGAUACCAAUUGAAGGAACUAGAUUUAGGGUUUCAGUGUUAGAUCUUGAAACUUUUUUUAGAUCAUGCUGCGGAAGACUAAAAUAAAUUAAAAUUUAUUUUAUAAAAUUAAAAAAUUCCUAGGACUA